This is a long non-coding RNA of Hibiscus syriacus, 300 nucleotides long. RefSeq lists it as uncharacterized. The transcript has 3 exons. The record is from RefSeq and is a predicted model, not a curated record. NCBI's taxonomy places the organism in Eukaryota, Viridiplantae, Streptophyta, Magnoliopsida, Malvales, Malvaceae.
CGGAGCAGGUUAGCGUUAGCUAGCUUUUUUGCACUAAAUAUAUUAUAUAUGUUUAAUCUUUCAUUUAGUUCUUCUUCAACAGCAUGGCUCUGAGCUCGGCCACGUCGAUCUCCUUAGCAGAGUUCUCGGGUCUAUAGCAACCGGUAACUGGGUCGGGUACCCAUGAAACCUUCUCUUUAGCUCCGCCUGCUAUCUCUUCCUUCGCCGCCGCCGAGCUCCUCCCUGCUCCUCCUCUUAUUCCACUCGACACAAUCCCUUGUGAUGAUGCCGCCGCAUAUCCUCGUCUAAACAAACAUAACA